This 75-nucleotide transfer RNA is filed under the name Candidatus Pacearchaeota archaeon. RNAcentral's name for it is "tRNA-Ile". It matches the Rfam family "tRNA". Rfam says of the family: Transfer RNA (tRNA) molecules are approximately 80 nucleotides in length. The record is from RNAcentral. Lineage: Archaea; Nanobdellati.
GAGCCUGUAGCUCAGCCAGGUUAGAGCGCCGGUCUUAUAAGCCGGAGGUCCGGAGUUCGAAUCUCCGCAGGCUCA